UACGAAGGGGGCUAGCGUUGCUCGGAAUGACUGGGCGUAAAGGGCGCGUAGGCGGCUUGCACCGUCAGAUGUGAAAUUCCUGGGCUUAACCUGGGGGCUGCAUUUGAUACGUGUGGGCUUGAGUGCGGAAGAGGUGAGUGGAAUUCCGAGUGUAGAGGUGAAAUUCGUAGAUAUUCGGAGGAACACCAGUGGCGAAGGCGGCUCACUGGUCCAUUACUGACGCUGAGGUGCGAAAGCGUGGGGAGCAAACAGG
RNAcentral lists this ribosomal RNA (253 nucleotides) under uncultured bacterium. Its description in RNAcentral is "partial 16S ribosomal RNA". It matches the Rfam family "Bacterial small subunit ribosomal RNA", at positions 524 to 776 of the family's 1533-position model. The record is from RNAcentral.